GGGUGAGUAAUACAUAAGUAAUCUGCCUUAGUGCCUGGGAUAACCGUUGGAAACGAUGGCUAAUACCGGAUAGUUAAUUUUAUGGCAUCAUAUUAUUAUUAAAGUUGCGUAUGCAACACAUUAAGAUGAGCUUAUGGCGCAUUAGCUAGUUGGUGGGAUAAAAGCUUACCAAGGCGAUGAUGCGUAGCCGACCUGAGAGGGUGACCGGCCACACUGGGACUGAGACACGGCCCAGACUCCUACGGGAGGCAGCAGUAGGGAAUUAUCGGCAAUGGGCGCAAGCCUGACCGUGCAAUGCCGCGUGAGUGAUGAAGGCCUUCGGGUUGUAAAACUCUGUUGUAAGGGAAGAAUUGGUAGUAGAGGAAAUGCUAUUACUUUGACGGUACCUUACCAGAAAGCCACGGCUAACUACGUGCCAGCAGCCGCGGUAAUACGUAGGUGGCGAGCGUUAUCCGGAAUUAUUGGGCGUAAAGGGUGCGUAGGCGGCAUAUUAAGUCUGUGGUGAAAGUGCGGGGCUCAACUCCGUAUUGCCUUAGAAACUGGUAUGCUAGAGUGCAGGAGAGGGCAGUGGAAUUCCAUGUGUAGCGGUAAAAUGCGUAGAUAUAUGGAGGAACACCAGUGGCGAAGGCGGCUGCCUGGACUGUAACUGACGCUGAGGCACGAAAGCGUGGGGAGCAAACAGGAUUAGAUACCCUAGUAGUCCACGCCGUAAACGCUGGAUACUAGGUGUAGGUACCGAUGAGGUAUCUGUGCCGUAGUUAACGCAAUAAGUAUCCCGCCUGGGGAGUACGGCCGCAAGGCUGAAACUCAAAGGAAUUGACGGGGGCCCGCACAAGCAGCGGAGCAUGUGGUUUAAUUCGAAGCAACGCGAAGAACCUUACCAGGGCUUGACAUCCCUCUGGAUGGUAUAGAGAUAUGCCAGGCCGGUGUUGUUAAGAUACCGGACAGGGGAGACAGGUGGUGCAUGGUUGUCGUCAGCUCGUGUCGUGAGAUGUUGGGUUAAGUCCCGCAACGAGCGCAACCCCUAUCUCCAGUUGCCAGCACGGAAGGGUGGGGACUCUGGAGAGACUGCCGUGGAGAACACGGAGGAAGGUGGGGACGACGUCAAAUCAUCAUGCCCCUUAUGUCCUGGGCUACACACGUGCUACAAUGGCCAGCACAGAGGGAAGCGAAGCGGCAACGCGGAGCGAAUCCCAAAAACCUGGUCUCAGUUCGGAUUGUGGGCUGCAACCCGCCCACAUGAAGUCGGAGUUGCUAGUAAUCGCGAAUCAGCAUGUCGCGGUGAAUGCGUUCCCGGGCCUUGUACACACCGCCCGUCACACCAUGGGAGUUGGGGGCACCCGAAGCC
Molecule: ribosomal RNA, 1348 nt
Filed under: uncultured prokaryote
Description: bacterial SSU rRNA
Rfam family: Bacterial small subunit ribosomal RNA
Source: RNAcentral